This 2952-nucleotide long non-coding RNA is filed under the name Homo sapiens (human). RNAcentral describes it as "HSALNT0190173". Lineage: Eukaryota; Metazoa; Chordata; Mammalia; Primates; Hominidae. The record is from RNAcentral.
UUUGGGGUUCCUCAGUUGCAGUGAGAUGUGAGGCACUUGCAGAGACUCAGUCCACCACCCUGGGCAGCUUUCACCACCCUGGGCAGCUUUUCCGAGACGUAGGGACUGGCUUGCCGUAAUUCAUAGCUUCUGCUGUCCCUUGCUACAUACCUCCUGUUUGGUCACAAACUAGGAUUGCAGCAUCUGCUUGUAGGCUCAAAAUAAAGGGAUGGAGAAAAAUCGACCAAGCAAAUGGAAAACAGAAAAGAGCAACUUGCUUCCUGAAAAUUCACGCUCCAGCUCCCUGCCACCUCCACAUCUCCCAGUCAGCCUCUUGUUGGCACACUGAAUCACUCUGGGGCCAUAUGUUUCAGGCUUCGUAUUAAGUGUCAAAGAUCCCAUGACAAGACAGCUCCCCUGCUUGCUGGGAGGACGUGGUGAGGACAGGGUACAUCUGAAACCUCUGGUGUGUCUGGCAGAGUUGCAAACGACUAGAUUCCAUCCAAGAUCAAAUGAAUCAGAAUCUGUGGUGAGUGUCCUGGGAAUUAUACCACAUAAACUUUUGUGGGUUAGAGAUUGUGUCUUGUUCUUCAUUUUAUUCCCAGUAGUAAGCACAAAUCCUGAAACAGAGCAGACACUUAAUACCUAUUUGCUAAAUUGAAUCAUUUUACAAAUAUGUGAGUGUCUUCUAUGGAUCAGACAUUAUCCUAGGCGCUUGUAUCAAGGAAGAAAAUAGACAAAAAUCUCCAUGUUCCACGAAGUUUGGAAGAGAGAGGGAAAGACAAUCUAAACAUAAUAAUGAAAUAAACUGCACAGUGUGCUAAAGGCUGAUAUGCUACAGGGGAUAAAAGUAGAGCAGGGUAAGGGAAAAUAGGGAAAAUCAAGAAGGUGGGUGAUGAAAGAAGGAAAUCAGCAGUAUUAAUUGAGGUGCCAGAAUAGGUGUCCUUGAGAAGGUGACAUUUGAGCAAGGACUCAAAGAAGGUAAGGAAGUCAGCCUAAAAGACACCUGGGGGAGAAAAACCCCAGGAAGAGAAAACAACUAGCACAAAAGAAGUAAGUCAGGAGUGUGCCUGGCACAUCUGAGUGACAGCAAAUAACCUCCUGGGCCUGGAUCAGAGUGAACAAGGGAGAGAGAAGCAGAAGAGAUAAGGGACAGGUCAUGUGUAACCUCAUAGGCCAAUGUAAGGACUUUAAAUUAAAUGAGAGAAUGUGUUAAUGAUUGAAUGAGUUAACAAAUGAAGUUUCUACCAUGUCUUGUGGUAAGUACUACAUAAAGAAAUUCAGAUGGUGCUCAGAGGAGAGCUUAUAGUCAGCAUUCAAAUAUUGUUUUAAUAUUAGAUAUUAUCUUUUUGCAAUUAAAAAGUGCAUUUUACCAUCAUCCAUCUUGCCAAUGGCUAGUGAAAAUUAAAUAUGAUUCUAAUAAGAGCAGCACUUCUUCUGUUUUCUUUUUUCUUAAUAAGUGCACUAUUUUUAAAGGUAAUCAACUCCUCCUAUUCUUGGUUUGCUUACAAAUAACUAACUAACAUGGCAGAAGUAGGAUAAAAGCCUUAUCUUCUGUCUUUGAGCCAAGAGUUUCUUCCAUUAUCUCAUAUUGUCUGAAGAUAUCCAGAAUGUCUGACAAAUCAGUUUUAUGAUUCCAAGGGCCAUAAAGAACAGUGGUGAAAUGACUACCCUAACACUGACACUCUGUACCAAGUAAAAAUAUUUUUUUAACCAUACAUAGUCUGCAGUGCAUCCAUGUUUUCUAAGGCUCCAGUACAAAUUGUUCCAGUAGUAUCAGAUAUUAUUCUGCAGAAAGUUCAGUCACAUCCAUGAAUAUUUCACACAUUUUGAUAAAAUUAUAUAGAUUCCUUUGCCAUAGAAAAACUACAGUUUUCUAAACAAAUAACCAAAUAAAACUAACAAACAAAAGCAGGAACCACAGACAAAAGAAAUAAAUGAAAACAGAGUUAAGUUUCAAGCACAUGAUAGGUAGCAAACCAGAAGAGAGAAAGUAGAGGAAAAGUUAUAUUUCAGCCUAUUGUUUUACAUGAAAUCAUCAAACUGAUUUCAGAAUCUCUAAAUUUUUUCAAACUGUAUGUAGUGAUGGGAUAUAACACUUUAUGGUAAUUUAAUUAUAUUAGAUUUAUUAAAGAUACAUUGAACCUGCCAUGCAUAUAUAAUAGAACCAUAGUUUUACAUUUGACAUGAAUAUACUGCUGUAUUGAUUGCUUUCCCAAGAUGGCCAAAUAGGAACAGUUCCGGUCUGUAGCUCCAAGCUUGAUAGAUGCAGAAGACAGUUGAUUUCUGCAUUUCCAACUGAGGUACAUGGUUCAUCUCAUUGAGACUGGUCGGAAGGUGGGUGCAGCCCAUGGAGGGUGAGCCAAAGCAGGGCGGGGCAUUGCCUCACCUGGAAAGUGCAAGGGGUUGGGGGAUUUCCCUUUCCUAGCCAAGGGAAGCCAUGACAGACUGUACCGGGAAAAUCGGGACACUGCCACCUAAACACUGCAGUUUUCCAACAGUCUUAGCAAAUGGCACACCAGGAGAUUAUAUCCCAUGCCUGGCUCAGCAGGUCCCAUGCCCAUGGAGCCUUUCACACUGCUAGUCUGAGAUCAAACUGCAAGGCAGCAAGACUGGCUGGGGGAGGGCUGUCUGCCAUUGCUGAGGCUUGAGUAGGUAAACAAAGCAGCCAGGGAAUCUCAAAUUGGGAGGAGCCCACCACAGCUCAAUGAGGCCCACCUACCUCUGUAGUCUCCACCUCUGGGGAUAGGGCAUAGCUGAACAAAAGGCAGCAGAAACUUCUGCAGACUUAAACAUCCCUGUGUGACAGCUCUGAAGAGAGCAGCAGUUCUCCCAGCAUGCUGUUUGAGCUCUGAGAAUGGACAGACUGCCUCCUCAAGUGGGUCCCUGACCCCCGUGUAGCCUAACUUGGAGGCACCUCACAGUAGGGGCCAACUGACACCCCAUAUAGCCAGGUGUCCCUGUGAGACAAAG